RNAcentral lists this ribosomal RNA (787 nucleotides) under uncultured euryarchaeote. Its description in RNAcentral is "bacterial SSU rRNA". It matches the Rfam family "Archaeal small subunit ribosomal RNA", at positions 511 to 1298 of the family's 1478-position model. The record is from RNAcentral. Lineage: Archaea; Methanobacteriati; Methanobacteriota.
UAAAGGGUCCGUAGCCGGCUUAUUAAGUCUCUUGGGAAAUCUGGCGACUUAAUCGUCAGGCGUCCAAGAGAUACUGAUAGGCUUGGGACCGGGAGAGGUGGGAGGUACUCCAGGGGUAGGGGUGAAAUCUCGUAAUCCUUGGGGGACCACCGAUGGCGAAGGCAUCCCACCAGAACGGGUCCGACGGUGAGGGACGAAAGCUGGGGGCACGAACCGGAUUAGAUACCCGGGUAGUCCCAGCUGUAAACGAUGCUCGCUAGGUGUCAGGUGCGGUGCGACCGCAUCUGGUGCCGCAGUGAAAACUUGAAGCGAGUCACCUGGGAAGUACGGUCGCAAGGCUGAAACUUAAAGGAAUUGGCGGGGGAGCACUACAACGGGUGGAGCCUGCGGUUCAAUUGGAUUCAACGCCGGAAAGCUUACCGGGUCAGACAGCAAUAUGAAGGUCAAGCUAAAGACUUUACCGAAUUCGCUGAGAGGAGGUGCAUGGCCGUCGUCAGUUCGUAUCGUGAGACAUCCUGUUAAGUCAGGCAACGAGCAAGACCCGUGCCCACAGUUGCCAGCAUACCCUCCGGGGUGAUGGGCACACUGUGGGGACCGCCGCUGCUAAGCGGAGGAAGGGGCGGGCUACGGUAGGUCAGUAUGCCCCGAAUCAUCCGGGCUGCACGCGGGCUACAAUGGUUGGGACAAUGGGCACCUACACCGAGAGGUGAUGGUAAUCUCCUAAACCCAGCCUUAGUUCGGAUUGAGGGCUGCAACUCGCCCUCAUGAAGCCGGAAUCCGUAGUAAU